This 634-nucleotide ribosomal RNA is filed under the name uncultured bacterium. Its description in RNAcentral is "bacterial SSU rRNA". It matches the Rfam family "Bacterial small subunit ribosomal RNA", at positions 815 to 1448 of the family's 1533-position model. The record is from RNAcentral.
ACUGGUUGUUGGGCAACUUGAUUGUUCAGUAACGAAGCUAACGCGAGAAGUUGACCGCCUGGGGAGUACGGUCGCAAGAUUAAAACUCAAAGGAAUUGACGGGGACCCGCACAAGCGGUGGAUGAUGUGGAUUAGUUCGAUGCAACGCGAAAAACCUUACCUACCCUUGACAUGUACGGAAGUCUGCUGAGAGGUGGAUGUGCCUGAAAGGGAACCGUAACACAGGUGCUGCAUGGCUGUCGUCAGCUCGUGUCGUGAGAUGUUGGGUUAAGUCCCGCAACGAGCGCAACCCUUGCUAUUAAUUGCCAUCAUUAAGUUGGGCACUUUAAUAGGACUGCUGGUGAUAAACCGGAGGAAGGUGGGGAUGACGUCAAGUCCUCAUGGCCCUUAUGGGUAGGGCUUCAGACGUCAUACAAUGGCCGGUACAGAGGGAUGCCAACCCGCGAGGGGGAGCCAAUCUCAGAAAGCCGGUCGUAGUCCGGAUUGUUCUCUGCAACUCGAGAGCAUGAAGUCGGAAUCGCUAGUAAUCGCGGAUCAGCAUGUCGCGGUGAAUACGUUCCCGGGUCUUGUACACACCGCCCGUCACACCAUGGGAGUGGGUGAUACCAGAAGUAGGCAGUCUAACCGCAAGGGG